Lachnospiraceae bacterium M18-1 is the source of this 96-nucleotide regulatory RNA element. It matches the Rfam family "Purine riboswitch aptamer". From Rfam's summary of the family: Riboswitches are metabolite binding domains within certain messenger RNAs that serve as precision sensors for their corresponding targets. Allosteric rearrangement of mRNA structure is mediated by ligand binding, and this results in modulation of gene expression. NCBI's taxonomy places the organism in Bacteria, Bacillati, Bacillota, Clostridia, Lachnospirales, Lachnospiraceae. The record is from Rfam.
AAUGACGCUUAGAAAUUAGCUUGUAUAAGUUCAUGAUUGGAUGAGCGUGUCUACCAACUGCCGUAACAGUUGACUACAAGUCUUCGGAAUACCCGA